Molecule: ribosomal RNA, 404 nt
Filed under: bacterium
Lineage: Bacteria
Description: partial 16S ribosomal RNA
Rfam family: Bacterial small subunit ribosomal RNA
Source: RNAcentral
UGGGGAAUAUUGCACAAUGGAGGGAACUCUGAUGCAGCGACGCCGCGUGAACGAAGAAGGCUUUCGAGUCGUAAAGUUCUUUUAUAUGGGAAGAUAAUGACGGUACCAUAAGAAGAAGACCCGGCUAACUACGUGCCAGCAGCCGCGGUAAUACGUAGGGGGCUAGCGUUGUCCGGAAUCACUGGGCGUAAAGGGUUCGCAGGCGGAAAUGCAAGUCAGGUGUAAAAGGCAGUAGCUUAACUACUGUAAGCAUUUGAAACUGCAUAUCUUGAGAAGAGUAGAGGUAAGUGGAAUUUUUAGUGUAGCGGUGAAAUGCGUAGAUAUUAAAAAGAAUACCGGUGGCGAAGGCGACUUACUGGGCUCAUUCUGACGCUGAGGAACGAAAGCGUGGGUAGCAAACAGGA